CAAUGCAGGGGUCAUAGUAAACA
This 23-nucleotide non-coding RNA is filed under the name Cricetulus griseus (Chinese hamster). The record is from RNAcentral. Lineage: Eukaryota; Metazoa; Chordata; Mammalia; Rodentia; Cricetidae.